AAAGAAGACUGGCAUAAGCAGAAGAAUUGAGAUGGGCACACUACAUGCCUUUGUUCUAGUAGUGGUCCACUAUUUUGGUGCUACAGUUAUUGAUCUCGAAUGAGUUCAAGGAGCAAGAAUUUAGCCCAGAAAGAAAUAUUACGCUGAACAGCUGUAUCUAGUUAUCAUUUUGCAUAUGCAGCUUUAUAUAACCCUGUCCACACUUGCCUAAAGCACAUGAGUGGCAUCCUGAAAAAAAGAAAUGAGCUUUUGAUAUUGCUUUGGAGAAAAUUCAUCUGUUUCGGCCAAACAGUACAUAUACGUACUGCACAUACCUGCAUUCGCUAUACCUUAUCACCAACUGUUAAGUCACCUUCUUGCCUCAUCAGCAAAUCACUCCUGCACCCAAGUGUGCUGGUCUGGGUUUUACCUGAAUUUCCACCUGUGCAGUUGGUAAAAGUCUGGCUGUUUACUGUAACUUCAUAUUUCAAACAUUUGGCUGCAAAAGAGCCUUUGGCAACACUGGUAACCCUAAUGCCUGGGCAGGCUUCACGAAAGGCCACCAGUACCUCCUCGUUGUAGACUGCUCAACAUUCUUGGUUAGACUGUAACUAAAAACCCAUAUAUCCUUCCUCUGAAGCGGCUGGUAUUGGCAAUGCUUUGAUGCAGAAAGUGGCUAUUGUCACACGUUAGCCUUAGGCCAGAAACCAAUCUGGCACAGGUGGAAAUAGUCUUGUCUUUCCCAUAUGGUGGUUCAGCCUCGCGAGGCACAUUCCUUCAGUCGAUUUGCACACUGUCAAUGUGAGUGAGACUGAUCAAAGGUUGGCUAUGGUUUCAGGUUUCUUGCCUAAUUUCUUUUGUGCCAUCAUGACCAAGUGUUUCCACUCUGUGGGGAAUUCCAAUAUUCCAAAUUUCAUUGAUUACAUGCAAUAGUGCUUGCUUCCUCGUUUCGGCAAGAUUCCUCAACAUCUGCAAAAUGACUCCAUUUUUACCAUGUGCACUUUAAGUGCUGACAUGUUCGAGAGCAACAACAGGUUCUGCCAUCGUAAAGAGGCUUUCCAUUCCUUCCUUUCCAAGUGGUCAGUAAGGUGCGUACAACUCUAGUGACGGUCAGUCACUGUGAAGUGGUCAGGGGAAAGCAUCUGCAGCUUGUUCCUCAAAUUUCUCAUAUGUGCACUGAAUAUCGAGCAGCGUGUUUUCAAUAAUAUUACAGUACUUAAUUCAUCCUGUUAUAGCCGAGAAUGUGUCACAGCUUACCGAGACCUAUACAUUCAAACGACGCGCAUUGGUCCAUCCACUACUCUCUGGCAAAUUUCUUAGCAUGACAUCUUGCCUGCUCAGGCUUGUGCAGAACAUUGAUCAGGGUUUGUUGUGUGCAGCCACAAUUAAGUAUGCAGUAUGUAACCCCAAAGUUGCAGCAGCUGCUUGUGAGGGCUGGAUGCUGCCCCAGUAAACUCUAGUUCACAUGUCGCUCUUUGCAGUGUGCAAAGGAAGCGUGUUGCUAGCAAUUCUUAAACACCUUCACAUUCUGCACACUCAAGUACAUCACGGAAAUGGUUCCAGCCUGAAACCCUGAUUUUGUAAAUGUGGCACAUUUUCACACUGACAUCAAGUGUUAUAUUGGAUAAUGGUCGGUGCCUCUUGGGGCAGAGUCACACUGACAUUCUGAAUGAAGGCCCCAGUUGCCCAUGCUAGGUCUGUGGUGUCUGCUUCGUCAAGGUGGCAUCCUCUUGGCCGUACGUCUUUGCAUCCCCAAUGUGGGUGGUGUGCGUUCAGCUCACCUCGACUGAGUAUUCUGUGCUCAGGAAAGCGAACUUGAAGAUGUCAAAGCCAAGCGAUGUCGCCUCGGCUGCGGUGCCUGGUUUUGGGACAGAG
Molecule: long non-coding RNA, 1854 nt
Filed under: Dermacentor andersoni
Lineage: Eukaryota; Metazoa; Arthropoda; Arachnida; Ixodida; Ixodidae
Description: uncharacterized LOC126528963
Source: RNAcentral